This 369-nucleotide ribosomal RNA is filed under the name uncultured organism. RNAcentral's name for it is "bacterial SSU rRNA". It matches the Rfam family "Bacterial small subunit ribosomal RNA", at positions 526 to 896 of the family's 1533-position model. The record is from RNAcentral.
CGAAGGGGGCUAGCGUUGUUCGGAAUUACUGGGCGUAAAGCGUUUGUAGGCGGUUAUACAAGUCAGUGGUGAAAGCCUGGGGGCUCAACCUCAGAAUUGCCAUUGAAACUGUAUAGCUAGAGAGUGUUAGAGGAAAGUGGAAUGGCUAGUGUAGGAGUGAAAUCCGUAGAGAUUAGUCGGAAUAUCGAUGGCGAAGGCAGCUUUCUGGGACAUUUCUGACGCUGAGAAACGAAAGCGUGGGUAGCAAACAGGAUUAGAUACCCUGGUAGUCCACGCCCUAAACGAUAGGGUGCUAAAUGUCGGGACAUUAGUCUCGGUAUUGUAGCUAACGCGUUAAGCACCCGCCUGGGGAGUACGGUCGCAAGAUUA